Long non-coding RNA from Prinia subflava (tawny-flanked prinia), 5450 nucleotides. RefSeq lists it as uncharacterized. The transcript has 7 exons. The record is from RefSeq and is a predicted model, not a curated record. NCBI's taxonomy places the organism in Eukaryota, Metazoa, Chordata, Aves, Passeriformes, Cisticolidae.
CUGGAGGGGAGCGCGGAUGCGGCUCCCGGGGUUGGGUUUUUUUUGCCUUUUUUUUUUUUUUAUGAAUGAAGGGCAGCGGCAGCUGCGCAUGCACCGCGCCCCCCGCCCGGGGCUGCAGGACCAUCAUUUUAUCCAUGUUUGGGAUAUUUCCAUUACUGCUGGGGUAAAGGGACUUCUUCUCCUGAGUGAAGACUGUGGGAUCUGACGUGAAGCAAGAAGAGAAGCAAAACCUCUGUGUGAACAUCACAGGGGGACUGUUUCCUCUUCCCACUGCUUUUCCAGAAUCCACAGUGUGUGUUCCUGCAGGGAUUCUCAGCCCUCGUGCUGCCCAGGUUUGUCACCUUGUAAAGCCGUGGUUCUGCUGAGACUCCCCGGUCCCCCGGCAGCAGCGGAUAUUGAAGGAUUUGAGCUGAGAUCUCUGAGCAGCCACAGCCCCUGCUCAGCCCCUCAUUCCCACCCCAGACACAGCUCCCUCAGCCCUACAUUUCCCCCAGGAAUCCCUGGCUGUGUGGCCCCGUUUCAGCAGAGAAUUCCUGCAGCCUCAGCGUUUGAAGCGGCCGAACCCCCGGGGCCGGGGCCAGCAGCUCCGUCCUGGCCAGAGCCCAUGUCCCUUCAGCGGUGAUGUGGUCUGUACAGAGAUUUCCUUCCAUGAAGCGCUGGGAUGAAAGCAAGAAAAUGGGACUUUUUGUAGAGAUGAGCUUCAUCCUGGAGAAUCUGCAGUGUCCAGUUCCAGCUCCCGGAGCCAGGCCAGCCCCAGAGCAGGAGCCUUGCCAGGAAGGUCUCUGUCCUGCCUGGGUUAGGACCGAGAGCUGGGACACGAGCAGGAGCUGUGGCUGUCUGGGCUGGCGCUGCAGGUGUGGCUGCCCCGCACGCCCACAGAUGGACGGACGGACGGAUGAUACCGAAUUACAAACUGCAGCCUCAGAAGUUCCCUCUAUGCUCUCAAUCCAAGCAGUUCUCUGGCUCUCCUGUUGCACCACGUCCCGUGUGAGCCCUGCAGUCCCACCCCAAGCCAAGCCUCUGCUGUGGCCCUGUUCAGGUGCGUGCCUGUCCCUCUGUCCUGGCCACCCCGGGCCAGCCCUCGCCAUCCUCUCAGUGCUCGGACGGGUCCAGCACCGCCCAGGCUGCUGCUGCUGGAGCUGGGGCUGGGGCUGGAGCUGGGAGCAGGAAUGCUGCACGAGGAGCAGGAAUGCUGCACGAGGAGCAGGAAUGCUGCACGAAGAGCAGGAAUGCUGCACGAGGAGCAGGAAUGCUGCAUGAGGAGCAGGAAUGCUGCAUGAGGAGCAGGAAUGCUGCAUGAGGAGCAGGAAUGCUGCACGAGGAGCAGGAAUGCUGCAUGAGGAGCAGGAAUGCUGCAUGAGGAGCAGGAAUGCUGCAUGAGGAGCAGGAAUGCUGCACGGUGUCAGGCAGCGCUUCCUGCAGCCGGCCCUCUGAAGGGUGGCCAAGCCCCGCCGAGGGUUGGCUCCAGCUUCAAAACGGGGAUUUGAGUUUGGGUUCAGCCCUUAUCCCCUGUCCUGCCCCAGAGAAGCAGAGGAUGCUGGAAUCGAGGGUUUCAUCUCCAGGCCAAGUAAACCCCACAUCCAUCCUGGUGGUUAACCAGCAGUAGACAUAGCAUCGCUCAGAAAUCCAGCUUCCUGCAGCACAGCCUCAGUCUGGGCUGUUCCAAGGAAAAUCACUUGGGUUCUGGGUUCACCAGAAGCUCAGCAGUGAUUUACCAUGGCAAUGUGCAGGGAAUUCAGGGUGUUCAUCCUGCAGUGUUUGUGUAAGGGUGUACAGCUGCUCUUUUUAACAUCUAAGUAAGACUGGCUGGAAGAAUCCUGUUCUUAAUUCUGUUGCCCAAUGUCUUAUUUUAAAUUCAGUCUCUAGUACCCCUGGAUGCUGACUCCUGCUUUUUUCCUCCAAGCUGCCUGAGUAAGGAGCUUAAGCUGUUGCUCAAUAACAGUGAGAUAAAAGCUUGAGUUAAUAAUGGCUAUUACCAGGAAAAUCCUCCAAUAAAUAAUAAUUUUCUUAUCUGUAUGACUUUGGGACUGGAGAAAAUGUCUUCCAGUGAAAAGCUGUAGCAUGUAGGAGUGGGCAAGGAGUGUUUCAGAUGAAAGAUCAGAGUAAGGCAAGCUCAGGGCUGAAUCUUGUAAAUGCAGAACAAAAGUGGAAUUAGUGUGGCGAAGUAGUCACUGGAGUAAACUAAGGAGAGCAGCUGUGCACCUCCACCUCUUGUGGUCUGGAGAGCCAGACAGGUCAGUGCCUUGGCCUGUGCUCUUCAGGCAGACUGGGGGGUUCUCAGUUGUGGCAGUGGGUGGCUCUAGAGGCCAUGGACACUGAGCUCUGUGUGUCACCCUCAGCUCUGGAGGCCAUGGACACCAAGCUCUGUGUGUCACCUCAGCUCUGGAGGCCAUGGACACUGAGCUCUGUGUGUCACCUCAGCUCUGGAGGCCAUGGACACUGAGCUCUGUGUCACCUCAGCUCUGGAGGCCAUGGACACUGAGCUCUGUGUCACCUCAGCUCUGGAGGCCAUGGACACCGAGCUCUGUGUCACCUCAGCAUUGCUGGGAGUCACUCCUGCGACCUGCCGGACCCCGUGGAAGGUACAGCCCUAGUUCUGCUCCCGCUGUCCCAGACGGGGACACAAAGGGACACCUGUGUCCCUGCAGAGCUGGGCACCUGUUUGUGCCUGCCUGACGUGUGACCACAGCAGCAGGAGCAGGCAGUGCUGCCACACUGCUCCAAGGAAAACACAGCCCUGCCUUGGGUUUCCAUUACAGAACCUCAGAGGGAAGGGGGUGUUUUUUGGGUGCUCUUCUGCCCCUUCUCAUCUCCGUAAACAACAAAGCACCACAAAGGGCACAGUGCAGGGCAGAAGGCUGCAAUUUUAACAAGCUGCUGAGGCUCAGCCCCCGAGGUUUCACCCACGCUGGCUAUUUCCAGCUCCCCAGUGGGCAGUCGAGAGCCUUUGUUGUGCCCCGUGUUUCCACAGCUGCUUUAGGGGAAAGCUGUGGGGCCAGGCUGGCCCACAGGGAUGCAGCCAAGAUCAUGGAAUCACAGGAUGGCUUGGGUUGGAAGGGACCUUACAGCUCAUCCAGUGCCACCCCUGGCUGGGAUCUGGAGUUCAUCUUGGGCCGCCCAGAGCGGGAUUUGUCACGGUAAAGAUCUCCCCCUCCUGUCUGCCCCGGAGCCAGGAUGAGAGCAGAGAAGGGAAACCCCUCCUCAGGCUCCUGCUCUUGUCCCGUGCCCUGAGCAUGGGCAGGAAAUCUCCGAGUGCAGCUGCGGGGAUGUGCCCCAGGCUGGGUGUGCAGGCUGGGGGAGCUGCCUGCCUGACCCCCGGGCUGGGAAUGCCCCUGGACCAGCAUCCAUCAGGGUGGGCAACUGUGCCCCUCACUGGGGUCACUGCCAGGCUGGUGCCACCUUGGAGGGCUGGAACAGACGUGGGGAUGUGGCACUUGGGGACAUGGGUCAGCGGUGGCCUUGGCAGUGCUGGGAGAAUGGUUGGCUCCAUGAUUUGAGAGGGGUUUUCUAAACUGAACAGCUCUUGGGUUCUGUGAUUCUGCAGACAUGGGGUCCCUGCACAGAUGAGGGCAGGCAAGGCUGCUCUGCAGGUGGGACAGGCAGAUUUACCAACCCCGGAGCAGUGACAGAUCAGAGACCAAGGCUGACACCCAGAUCUAAAUUAAGAGCCAGGAGCAAGGACAGACUUUGUGAGCACAGUGGGCCGUGAGUCAUGGGUGAACUGUGUGUCCAGACUGCUGUGGGCAGUGGGCAAAUCCUUGGGAGGAUGGCUCAGGGCAGACAACACCACUCCCACAAGGAGUCUGAAGGGGACAAAAGGGUUUUAGAUGCCAUGCCAUGAGUCAGUGGUACCUGGGCACAGCAGCCAGCCUGCUUCCCACUCCCUGUGAAACCCCUCUCUGCCCUGUCCUCAGGGACAGCUGCCAGGCUUUGAUGCUGUGGGCUUGGGAAUCUGCCUGUGGGAUCCCAGCCUGGCCCUUUCCCCAGCAGCCCUCUCAGUCUGGUGCUUUCCCUGGGAAGGGAGAGAGUUUGGGGGUAGGGAAAGCACAAACAGAAGGGGAAAGGGAUUCCUGUGAGCUCACUCAGAGUGGUUCUUCUGAGCUCACUUCUGAGUCAAGACUCAGCAGAAUGGUGUUUGUUACCUAAUUAAAACAGAGGUCAGGCUUUAAGCUGCACCAUGGGUGCAUGUUAAUGAUGCUGUGCUGGGGUUAGUAGAACUUUAUUUAGCACUGGCUGUGUAUUAGCUGUUCUUGAAGGGAAUUCCUAAACAUUAACCCUGGCACUGUGCGAGUUUGUCUCAGCCUUUCUGUGCCACCUUCACCAGAAGGAAGUGAAGCCCUUUUGUCAUUCAAGGUUUUAGGGAGAAAAGCAGGAGCUGUGGCAGUUUGGCACUGCAGGUGCCAGGUGCAGACUGUCCCUGUCUCCUCAGGGCUGGAGGCCGGAGCUGCCUCGAAUCCAGGCAUGAGGGACAAGUCCCUGUCCCUUGGUGGGCAGUGUCCCCUGCCCUGUUAAACACUGCCAGACUCUGGGGAGUGUAAAACCUGCAAGGCACCCAUUGCUGCUGCAGUGCUCUGCAUGGCCCUGGCCUCUGCUUUGGUUCUCCAACAGCUUUAAACCAACAGAUUCAGACGGAAACAAGGGAGGAAAUAGGAACUGAACUCUGAGUUUGGCACCUUUCAAGCACAGGGGGAGAGGGAGGAUUCCUGCAUCCACAGCAGAGACCAUGGCAAAGCCAUUGUGUCUCUCACUGGACUGGUUUUCAACAAAUCCUUCUGCAAAGAGAUUUUCAUUGUGAGGUUUCUGUUUGACAGACAGACCCAGCCAGACCCAGCCUCCAGAUAAUCCCCAAGAGCUCUGCACUGACAGAAAAUGUACACAGGAUUCCUAAAAAUGCCCCAGCUGUGAGUCAGUGCCCACUGUGCCCUGGAGAGAGAAGUGCUGGUACCCAGGGGCAGCCUGGGGGGUCAGGGCAGCCUUUACCUCCCUGGAAUAUAAUUAUUUUUUUCUCAGGGAAUAUUUACUAAAAGGGUUGUAAGAUCCAGUGCAAGUGUUAAUGUGUUUUGAGGGCAAUAAAGAAGGGGAAAAAAAAUGAAGAUGGAAUAAGCAAGGAAGGCUGAAAAAGAAAUGAAGGUUAAAGGUGAGAAGGAGGCUGGAAAAUAAUUGGAGUCACAAGGUUGGGGAGGAAAAAAAUUAAAGGAGUGCAAGAGAAAGAAAAAUGUUGAUCAGAAGUAAAAACAAGGACAGAAAAAAUAGAGGCUGCAAAAGGGUAGAGGGCCAAGAAAGGGUGAGAGGGGGAAAGAAAUGCAGAGGCUGAAAAGGGCAGGAGACCAAAAUAAAGUGGGAGGCCAAAGGAAAAGCAGAGACAAAAAAAGUGCAGGGUGAACAGGGGUGGGAGGCUGAAGAGGCACAGGAGACAUACGGGAAGGUCUGCCCAGAGAGGGGUCUGAAGU